Molecule: long non-coding RNA, 576 nt
Organism: Mugil cephalus (flathead mullet)
Lineage: Eukaryota; Metazoa; Chordata; Actinopteri; Mugiliformes; Mugilidae
Exons: 4
Source: RefSeq, a predicted model, not a curated record
UGAAAAGAGAAACAGCUGAGAAAGAACUAGAGGAGCUGAGGAGGAAACUGAACAUCAAGUCAGAGAGAAUCAAACCUGAACAAACACAGAACAGCAGCAGCUCAGACAGUCAGGAGACGUCAGGAGACAUCACUGUGUUUGUUCAUCCCAAGGACUACUAUAUCUGUCUGAGAAACAUGUCUGAUCAGGACAAACCACUGGGAGGACGUCAGUUAAAAGUCCAGAUCAACAAUAGUGAACCCAUCACAUACACAUUUGAUCCAUCAAUGAAACUCAAGGCUGGAGACAAAGUUACUAUAUACCAUCCAGACAGUGAGCAUCUUGUCUCUGAUAGCCUGGUGUGGGAGGACCUGAAGUCCUGGAAGUCUGGAGACAGAGUCAAGGCCUCUCUGCAGUGAAAUAGUUCCCAGUUGAACUCCUUCAAUAAAGUUCAGUAAUCCAGCAAACAGCAACAUUAUAGAUGAGAAACAGCACGACUCAGAUCUUCCUGCAGAAACCACACACUGCAGAGAAAGAUGAAAUAAUUCUACAACUGUUUCCCAUUGUCAAUCAUUGUAUUUUAAUAAAUCUCUUCUU